AUGAAAAAACACUAAAUGCCUGCUUAAAAACGUAAAUAAGAGGAAAGUCUGGGCUCUACUAAUAGUAUAGGUGCUGGGUAAUAACCAGCGAAGGUGACUUCAGGGAAUGUAAUAUAGAAAACAAAAGCGUAUGCUUAUGAAAUGGUAUACCCUAGAUAAGCACUAAUGCUUAUCUAAUUGAAACACCCACCAAGAGCAAGGCCGUAAGUGCCGCUAAUAAGCUAUAGUAAAUAUGGCUUUAAGAUAAAUAGGCAUUGACAAUAGUAUUUUGUGUGUUUUUAAUAAUAUUGCCACAAAACCCAGCUUAUUGUGUUUUUUCAU
This 321-nucleotide RNase P RNA is filed under the name Histiona aroides. RNAcentral's name for it is "ribonuclease P RNA". It matches the Rfam family "Bacterial RNase P class A". Rfam says of the family: Ribonuclease P (RNase P) is a ubiquitous endoribonuclease, found in archaea, bacteria and eukarya as well as chloroplasts and mitochondria. Its best characterised activity is the generation of mature 5'-ends of tRNAs by cleaving the 5'-leader elements of precursor-tRNAs. The record is from RNAcentral. Lineage: Eukaryota; Jakobea; Jakobida; Histionidae.